RNAcentral lists this ribosomal RNA (475 nucleotides) under uncultured bacterium. Its description in RNAcentral is "SSU rRNA". It matches the Rfam family "Bacterial small subunit ribosomal RNA", at positions 26 to 521 of the family's 1533-position model. The record is from RNAcentral.
AGGAUGAACGCUGGCGGCGUGCCUAACACAUGCAAGUCGAACGUCCUGUCUCGCAAGAGGCAGGGAGUGGCGGACGGGUGAGUACCACGUGGGUCAUCUACCGUGAGGUGAGGAAUACCGGCGAGAAAUCGCCGACAAGACCGCAUAGCCUCGGUGCAAGCCGAGCAAAGCUCUUUCGAGAGAGGGAGCGCCACACGAGGAGCCUGCGCCCGAUUAGCUAGCUGGUGGAGUAACGGUUCACCAGGGCGACGAUCGGUAGCUGGUCUGAGAGGACGAUCAGCCACACUGGGAUUGAGAACGGCCCAGACUCCUACGGGGGGCAGCAGUGAGGAAUUUUCCGCAAUGGGCGCAAGCCUGACGGAGCAACGCCGCGCGCAGGAAGACGGUUUCGGAUCGUAAACUGCUUUUCUCGGGGACGAGAACGGACGGUACCCGAGGAAUCAGCCCCGGCUAACUACGUGCCAGCAGCCGCGGU